This is a non-coding RNA of Desmophyllum pertusum, 73 nucleotides long. Lineage: Eukaryota; Metazoa; Cnidaria; Anthozoa; Scleractinia; Caryophylliidae. The record is from the annotation of a GenBank genome assembly.
GGCGCGGUGGCCUAAUGGUCAACGCGUUGGACUCCAGAUCAAGCGGUCUGGGUUCGAGCGCUGGCCGGGGACA